UCGCUUCAGCAGCACACAUAUUAAACUUGGAACAAUACAGAGAAGAUUUGCACGGCCCCUGCUCAAGGAUGACAUGCAAAUUUGUGAAGCGUUCCAUAUUUUG
Molecule: small nuclear RNA, 103 nt
Filed under: Chinchilla lanigera (long-tailed chinchilla)
Lineage: Eukaryota; Metazoa; Chordata; Mammalia; Rodentia; Chinchillidae
Source: RNAcentral